Molecule: long non-coding RNA, 722 nt
Organism: Cyprinus carpio carpio
Lineage: Eukaryota; Metazoa; Chordata; Actinopteri; Cypriniformes; Cyprinidae
Source: Ensembl
CCCCUAAUAUAGCGUGGUGGGAGAGCCGAAGGAAUACUUAUUGAAGUAGUCACAACGACGACAUCACUAGCUAGGCCGCAUAUUCCAUCGCCAGAUCCGAACCAAGCGAAGUGAAGGAAGACGGGUGUCCUUUUCGUACACUGAGUGUGGUGGGUGAGUCUUCGUGCUGUGAAAACCUAUAAUUUUGACGUGGUGUUGUAUAUUGCUGUGGGCUGCUGUGUAUUGUCGUGUGUCCUGUCAGAUAAACCCCCGCCUUCAUGCACUUCGUCGCGGGAGGACAAGGAGACUGCUGGUCCUAGCCUAGUUCAGUACAGUAUAUGUUGUGAGCGUGCUUCAGAUCUCCGGAGAUAGCACGGUACGCUGUGUCCAGCCCAGAGGUGAAAGCCAUCCAAAGCAGAGUAACUGUGCUUUGUGUCCAAGUUGAUACCUGUGGAGAGGAAAGGAAAGAGAGAGUGAGUAACACAAGGAGAACCAGAGGGAACCUGUACUUACAGUACGCUGUGUUCAGCCCAGAGGUGAAAGCCAUCCAAAGCAGAGUAACUGUGCUUUGUGUCCAAGUUGAUACCUGUGGAGAGGAAAGGAAAGAGAGAUUGAUAUCUGUGGAGAGAAAAGGAGAGAGAGUGGGUAACACGAGGAGAGACCGAGGAAACCUGUACUUACGCCGCUGCCUGUGGAGAAAGAGAAAGCGAGUGAGCACCCAAGGAACGAACUGUGUGAACCAG